UGGGGAAUCUUCCGCAAUGGACGAAAGUCUGACGGAGCAACGCCGCGUGUAUGACGAAGGCCUUCGGGUUGUAAAGUACUGUCUUUGGGGAUGAACGGUAUCUAUGUAAAUAAUGUAGAUACAUGACGGUACCCAAGGAGGAAGCCCCGGCUAACUACGUGCCAGCAGCCGCGGUAAUACGUAGGGGGCGAGCGUUGUCCGGAAUCAUUGGGCGUAAAGGGCGCGUAGGCGGGUCAUUAAGUCUGGUGUGAAAGGCAGGGGCUCAACCCCUGGAAGGCACCGGAAACUGGUUAUCUUGAGGGACAGGGAGAGGAAAGCGGAAUUCCACGUGUAGCGGUGAAAUGCGUAGAUAUGUGGAGGAACACCAGUGGCGAAGGCGGCUUUCUGGACUGUAACUGACGCUGAGGCGCGAAAGCGUGGGGAGCAAACAGGAUUAGAUACCCUGGUAGUCCACGCCGUAAACGAUGAGUGCUAGGUGUAGAGGGUAUCGACCCCUUCUGUGCCGCAGUUAACACAAUAAGCACUCCGCCUGGGGAGUACGGCCGCAAGGUUGAAACUCAAAUGAAUUGA
RNAcentral lists this ribosomal RNA (570 nucleotides) under uncultured bacterium. Its description in RNAcentral is "partial 16S ribosomal RNA". It matches the Rfam family "Bacterial small subunit ribosomal RNA", at positions 355 to 913 of the family's 1533-position model. The record is from RNAcentral.